UAGUAAUGGGAGAUUAAUAUAUUCAGUAUAGGAGAAUCUGUAAGACGCAACAUGAAACAACAAAUAAUUAUUUUCCUCUUCGCUACAAUGCUACUGGCCGUGUAUUGUGACCCAGCAGAUGAGUCAAACUAUUACCCCCCCUGUACAACCGACGCCGAGUGCGAUUGGAAGUGCAAAGAGGUCUGCGACCCUUCCAGGAUCAAGGGCCAUUGCCAGCAGAGCUAUUAUUGGAAUCAGAAAUAUUGUGUUUGCGAAAUAACCGUAAACAUAUAGAGAUUGUGUAGCGCAACGCAAUUAUAAGUAAAAGUGUGUAGAUAGGUCACCAAUCACCAACAUG
This is a long non-coding RNA of Colias croceus (clouded yellow), 337 nucleotides long. RefSeq lists it as uncharacterized. Lineage: Eukaryota; Metazoa; Arthropoda; Insecta; Lepidoptera; Pieridae. The transcript has 2 exons. The record is from RefSeq and is a predicted model, not a curated record.